GCGGAAGGAUCAUUACCGAAUUGUCAACAAGAGUUGUUGCUGGUCCCCAUACGGGGGCAUGUGCACGCUCUGUUUACACAUCCACUCACACCUGUGCACCCUCUGUAGUUCUAUGGCUUGGGUGGGCUCUGUCCUCCUGCUGUGGUUCUACGUCUUUACACACACACUACAACAAAGUCUCAUGGAAUGUAUGUCGCGUUUAACGCAAUGAAAUACAACUUUCAGCAACGGAUCUCUUGGCUCUCGCAUCGAUGAAGAACGCAGCGAAAUGCGAUAAGUAAUGUGAAUUGCAGAAUUCAGUGAAUCAUCGAAUCUUUGAACGCACCUUGCGCCCUUUGGCUAUUCCGAAGGGCAUGCCUGUUUGAGUAUCAUGAACACCUCAACUCUCGUGGCUUGCCAUGAAGAGCUUGGACUUUGGGGGUCUUGUUGGUCUGUGAGCCAGCUCCUCUUAAAUGAAUUAGCUUGCCGGUGUUUGGUGGCGUCACAAGUGUGAUAACUAUCUACGCUUUGUGUUUUUCCCACCAGG
RNAcentral lists this ribosomal RNA (526 nucleotides) under uncultured fungus. RNAcentral describes it as "eukaryotic LSU rRNA". The stretch from base 217 to 371 matches the Rfam family "5.8S ribosomal RNA". Lineage: Eukaryota; Fungi. The record is from RNAcentral.